Molecule: long non-coding RNA, 1918 nt
Filed under: Cicer arietinum (chickpea)
Lineage: Eukaryota; Viridiplantae; Streptophyta; Magnoliopsida; Fabales; Fabaceae
Description: long non-coding RNA (CARI_LNC002901)
Source: RNAcentral
UAUUUUAUGUGAUCCUAUUGUUGUCUUCAAUGCUUCUUGUCUACAAACUUUGUUCUGGUUGUGGUUCAAACUCAAAAUUGAGGAUCCACAUUUAUUGUUCUCAAACUAGUUUUUUUUUCGUCAAAGGAAAUCCAUUAACAAACCAAAGGGAUAGAUGGAAAAACCAGCCACUAGCUCAAGAUCAACAAGCAAUACAAACCAGUGCCCAUUGAGGGGAACCCAAUGAAUCGCACUCAAUUAAAAUAAAAAUAGGUAGCUUCUUCUCCCACUCUCAUAUGUUUCAAAAGCCUUUAAAAUACACCUUUAGAUCGAUCAAUUCGGAGUUUUUUUUUUUCUUUCAAAAUACACCUUUAGAUUGAUCAAUUUGGAGAACAUUGAGAGGUGGAAGAAGAAACUCAUUAAAAGACGAAAAAAGAAGCACAAGAGGCCUUGGGAACAGAAUCACAAUUCUUAGGGUUUAAAGAGUUUUUUCUCCCUCCUACAUUCUCAAAAGUCUUUAAAAUACUUUUUUUUUUCCUUUCAAUUUUACCCCAUUUGGAUUGACUGUUCCGAACGAGAUUUAACUGGAUUGGCCAAUCUGGACACCUCUUUCUUAUACUUUGCAAACCCCUUCUUCGCCACCCACUACAUCUUUCUUUCCAUUCUUAACAAAAACAUCCCUAAAUCCCAAAAAUCGUCAAAUUCCCAAAAUUUUCUCCACUCUUAUAUUCUUCAAAAUCAUAACCAACACAUCACAUUUCACAAGUUUAGAAGUCUAAAUCAUAAGGUAAUAUUUCAUUUCUCAGUUUUUUUUUUUUUUUUUUUUUUUUUUUUUUUUUUUUUUUUAAUUUGGUUGUCUUCAGAUCAACUGAUCUAAACGUGUUUUUGGUUUGUUAUGUGGUGUCUGGGCCAGUUGAUCCAGAUGAGUUUUUGGUACCAUAUGUGGUGUUUGAAUCAGGUGAUCCAGAUGUGUUUUUGGCACCAUAUGUGGUGUUGGGAUCAACUAAUCCAAAGAGAGGGGAGUUGAAUUGUUUCUUAUAAUUUAUGUUGUUGUUUGAGUAAGUGAUACCCAUUAGAUUUGGUAGGGUCAUAACGCUUGUCUCAAUUUGCGAAGAACAACUUCGAAACGAGUGAAUGAUAUUGAGGAGAGUUCGCAAACACAAACCAAAGAUGUACAAGCUGAGAUGCCGCCACCAAAGCCACAUAUCUUAAAUGCUUCAUCUCAAACCCACUCCAACAAGUUGUCUCUAGAUUUAAAUUUCGUAUAAGUUGUGAAGUUUUGAGUAAUAUCGACCAAUGAUUUAGAAAUGUAAGAUUUCAAAUCAAAAGAGGAAUUGUCAUGUUUCAAAUCAAUAGAGGGAUCAUCCAUACUUGAAAUGGUACAAUGGUUAUUAGAAAGAAAGACAAUGUAGGAAAAACUUAGGUCGGAUUGACCAAUUCAAAUGUUUUUGUGCAGUAAACACGCAUUUUGGAUUGACCAACCCAAACGACUGCUUGAUGCAGUAAAAAAAACGUGUCCGGAUUGGCAAAUUUUUUGAGGGCUUUCGGGGAUAUAGGGAGGAGAUAAAAAGCUCUCGAGGACUUAUUGUUGGUGAUUUGAUGAAUGUUGAGUUGUUUGACUGUCCCGAAAUGCUACUUGAGUGUCUGAGACAAACCUAUCCUUUUACAUAGUUGGGUUAUUCUUUAAAGAAAUUGUUUGUUGGUGAUUCUUUGUUUUGAAGGCCACAUUUUCUGUUGGGUCUCUUCUUUAUUUCAAUUUACGCCCAUAUGUAACAUGUAGAUACUUAUUCUCGUUGUGUUUUUCAGCUUUUGUUGGGAGUUAUUUUGUACUUUGUAAUGCUGUCCAUACUCAAUAGAUGGUGAUAUGCUCUAUCUUAAUUUUCGGGUCUAUAUUGAAACCUAUACAAAUUCUUGAAUUUUUCUAUGACUUGUAUCUUGG